This is a long non-coding RNA of Bradysia coprophila, 582 nucleotides long. NCBI's taxonomy places the organism in Eukaryota, Metazoa, Arthropoda, Insecta, Diptera, Sciaridae. The record is from RefSeq and is a predicted model, not a curated record.
GGCAUUCAGUUUUUCCAAUAAUUGGUGAGAAAAGGCAAGGACAAUUCACUUGGAAGAGCUGCCAUUCGGCCGCCGGUUUCCAAUUGAAUGCAAUCAGCAUAUAGCGGAAAUGAGUUUGAGGAGCCAAGGCACAAUGACACGAACAUAUUGAUGUAUUAUCGCCAUUCAAAGACGCCGAAUCAUGUCCAAUAUGCCCGCUUAAUAUUGAACCGUUCGCCGUUAUAACAUCUCCUUCUAAUCGAACAGCUACUUGUAGAGCCUGUGAUUGAAAUUAAUUGUUUCCGAUCACCUCACAGAUCCAAUUCGGUACUACAAACAAACUGUGAUUUCUUACCUGCAUAGCUUGGGCCUCAUCACGUCGUUCAUCUUCCGUAUUCAUCGUCACAAAUCUUAGUACUAAUAAGUUCAAUGAAGCGGCUACAAUCGCCAGUCCGAAAAUGCUACCAUAUCUCCGAAUCCUAAAAGAAUUGAUCAAACAAUCGUUACAGAAAUUGAGCCGUAACGACAAAAAUGCUUCAAUCAACGUACCGAUGGUCGUGAGAGUGAUGAAACAAUAGUAAACUGAAUCAAAGUAACUCCAAC